GGCCUGGCGACGGUUGUCCAGGUUCAAGUGCGUAGGCUGAGUGUUUAGGUAAAUCCGGACACUCUUAAGGCUGAGACACGACGUCGAGCUACUACGGUAGUGAAGUCAUUGAUGCCAUGCUUCCAGGAAAAGCCUCUAAGCUUCAGAUUGUAAGGAAUCGUACCCCAAACCGACACAGGUGGUCGGGUAGAGAAUACCAAGGCGCUUGAGAGAACUCGGGUGAAGGAACUAGGCAAAAUGGUACCGUAACUUCGGGAGAAGGUACGCUCUUGAUGGUGAAGUCCCUUGCGGAUGGAGCUGACGAGAGUCGCAGAUACCAGGUGGCUGCAACUGUUUAUUAAAAACACAGCACUGUGCAAAAUCGUAAGAUGACGUAUACGGUGUGACGCCUGCCCGGUGCCGGAAGGUUAAUUGAUGGGGUUAGCGUAAGCGAAGCUCUUGAUCGAAGCCCCGGUAAACGGCGGCCGUAACUAUAACGGUCCUAAGGUAGCGAAAUUCCUUGUCGGGUAAGUUCCGACCUGCACGAAUGGCGUAAUGAUGGCCACGCUGUCUCCACCCGAGACUCAGUGAAAUUGAAAUCGCUGUGAAGAUGCAGUGUACCCGCGGCUAGACGGAAAGACCCCGUGAACCUUUACUACAGCUUGGCACUGAACAUUGAACCUACAUGUGUAGGAUAGGUGGGAGGCUUUGAAGACGUGACGCCAGUUGCGUUGGAGCCGUCCUUGAAAUACCACCCUUGUAUGUUUGAUGUUCUAACGUUGGCCCCUAAUCGGGGUUGCGGACAGUGCCUGGUGGGUAGUUUGACUGGGGCGGUCUCCUCCCAAAGAGUAACGGAGGAGCACGAAGGUGGGCUAAUCACGGUUGGACAUCGUGAGGUUAGUGCAAUGGCAUAAGCCCGCUUAACUGCGAGAAUGACGGUUCGAGCAGGUGCGAAAGCAGGUCAUAGUGAUCCGGUGGUUCUGAAUGGAAGGGCCAUCGCUCAACGGAUAAAAGGUACUCCGGGGAUAACAGGCUGAUACCGCCCAAGAGUUCAUAUCGACGGCGGUGUUUGGCACCUCGAUGUCGGCUCAUCACAUCCUGGGGCUGAAGUCGGUCCCAAGGGUAUGGCUGUUCGCCAUUUAAAGUGGUACGCGAGCUGGGUUUAGAACGUCGUGAGACAGUUCGGUCCCUAUCUGCCGUGGGCGUUGGAAGAUUGAAGGGGGCUGCUCCUAGUACGAGAGGACCGGAGUGGACGAACCUCUGGUGUUCGGGUUGUGUCGCCAGACGCAUUGCCCGGUAGCUAAGUUCGGAAUCGAUAACCGCUGAAAGCAUCUAAGCGGGAAGCGAGCCCUGAGAUGAGUCUUCCCUGAUACUUUAAGUAUCCUGAAGGGUUGUUCGAGACUAGAACGUUGAUAGGCAGGGUGUGUAAGCGCUGUGAGGCGUUGAGCUAACCUGUACUAAUUGCCCGUGAGGCUUAACCAU
Molecule: ribosomal RNA, 1461 nt
Filed under: Vibrio vulnificus
Lineage: Bacteria; Pseudomonadati; Pseudomonadota; Gammaproteobacteria; Vibrionales; Vibrionaceae
Description: partial 23S ribosomal RNA
Rfam family: Bacterial large subunit ribosomal RNA
Source: RNAcentral